This 337-nucleotide ribosomal RNA is filed under the name Anophryoides haemophila. Its description in RNAcentral is "partial Bacterial large subunit ribosomal RNA". The record is from RNAcentral. Lineage: Eukaryota; Ciliophora; Oligohymenophorea; Philasterida; Glauconematidae.
UCACAGUUCCCCUUAACCUUCCAGCACCGGGCAGGAGUCAGUCCGUAUACAUCGUCUUACGACUUCGCACGGACCUGUGUUUUUGGUAAACAGUCGUUUCCCCCUGGACUCUGCGCCCCUCACCGCCACCACACCGCACGGGUGCACGACAGCUCAGGUCCCCCUUAUCCCAAAGUUACGGGGGCAUUUUGCCGAGUUCCUUCACCACGAUUCACUCGAUCGCCUCGGUAUACUCUACCUAUCCACCAGUGUCGGUUUAGGGUACGGGCGGACCCGCCACCUCGCUCACGAAGCUUUUCUCGACAGUACAGGAUCACUCACUCACCCACAACCGUGG